This 468-nucleotide ribosomal RNA is filed under the name uncultured bacterium. RNAcentral's name for it is "partial 16S ribosomal RNA". It matches the Rfam family "Bacterial small subunit ribosomal RNA", at positions 28 to 507 of the family's 1533-position model. The record is from RNAcentral.
GACGAACGCUGGCGGCGUGCUUAACACAUGCAAGUCGAACGGAAAGGCCCUGCUUUUGUGGGGUGCUCGAGUGGCGAACGGGUGAGUAACACGUGAGAAACCUGCCUUUGACUUUGGGAUCAUUUCAGGAAACUGGGGCUAAUACCGGAUAGUAGCUCCUGCUGCAUGGUGGGGGUUGGAAAGUUUCGGCGGUUGGGGAUGUACUUGCGGCUUAUCAGCUUGUUGGUGGGCUAGUGGCUUACCUAGUCUUUGACGGGUAGCCGGCCUGAGAGGGGGACCGGCCACAUGGGGACGGAGAUACGGCCCAGACGCCUACGGGAGGCAGCAGUGGGGAAUAUUGCCCAAUGGGCGGAAGCCUGAUGCAGCAACGCCGCGUGCGGGAUGACGGCCUUCGUGUUGUAAACCGCUUUCGCCUGUGACGAAGCGUGAGUGACGGUAAUGGGUAAAGAAGCACCGGCUAACUACGUG